AUGUGAUCGUCUCUCGCAUAUCAAUAAGCGGAGGAAAAGAAACUAACAAGGAUUCCCUUAGUAACGGCGAGUGAAGCGGGAAGAGCUCAAAUUUGAAAUCUUCAAGGUUCUACCUUGACGAAUUGUAGUUUAAAGAAGUGUUUUCUGUUAGUGGAGUGGCAAAAGUUCUUUGGAAUAGGACAUCAUAGAGGGUGAGAAUCCCGUAUUUGGUCAUUCCUUCUAGCUUUGUGAUACACUUUCAAAGAGUCGGAUUGUUUGGGAAUGCAGUCCAAAAUGGGUGGUAAAUUUCAUCUAAAGCUAAAUAUUGGCGAGAGACCGAUAGCGAACAAGUACCGUGAGGGAAAGAUGAAAAGAACUUUGAAAAGAGAGUUAAACAGUACGUGAAAUUGUCAAAAGGGAAGCGUUUGACACCAGUGUUGUUUUUCCGAAAAUCAAUUAUAAAUGUUUUGUUUCUGAGGAGUGAUGACUUCAUCGGCUUCCUUCUCUCUUCACGAAACUUUUGUAAUGCACUUUUCGGUUAACAAGUCAACAUCAAUUUCUUUUGUUGUAAAAGAGUAUUUGGAAGGUGGCUUUCUUUUCGGAGAAAGUGUUUAUAGCCUAUUGCCUUCUACAAUCGGAGAGACUGAGGUCUGCAGCGUAGACUCUUCGGGGUUAGAUACAUUUGUGCUAAGUUAUAGCUUUUUAUAGACAACUUGUUGACUAUAAUUAGUCUUGUAGCUUACUCGCUUAUGCUAUUUUACCUACGCUUAGGAUGUUGACGAUCAGCUGAGCGCG
Molecule: ribosomal RNA, 774 nt
Filed under: uncultured Neocallimastigales
Lineage: Eukaryota; Fungi; Neocallimastigomycota; Neocallimastigomycetes; Neocallimastigales
Description: partial large subunit ribosomal RNA
Rfam family: Eukaryotic large subunit ribosomal RNA
Source: RNAcentral